GAUCAAAUUAAAUUUAAAUUGCAUGCUAUCAUUUAUUCUUCUAUAACAUGGAGAAAGUGUAUUUCACAGGGCUGUUAGUCCUUAUUAAAACCGGCUAGGCAAAAAUGAAACCUCACUCCUUCACUCUGCCACCUGUCAUCUUUCCCCCACACAUACGUAUCUAUUUAGCCUAAAUCUAAGGUGGUUUUAAAAGCCAGUCACUACUUUCUUGAACAAAGUGUUUAAAAUCAUGGGUUGCAAUAAAAGAUAAUAAA
Leopardus geoffroyi (Geoffroy's cat) is the source of this 254-nucleotide long non-coding RNA. RefSeq lists it as uncharacterized. Lineage: Eukaryota; Metazoa; Chordata; Mammalia; Carnivora; Felidae. The transcript has 2 exons. The record is from RefSeq and is a predicted model, not a curated record.